UGGGGAAUUUUGCACAAUGGAGGAAACUCUGAUGCAGCGACGCCGCGUGAGUGAUGAAGAUCUUCGGAUUGUAAAACUCUGUCCUUAGUGAAGAUAAUGACAGUAACUAAGAAGCAAGCCCUGGCUAAAUCCGUGCCAGCAGCCGCGGUAAUACGUAUGGGGCAAGCGUUGUCCGGAAUUAUUGGGCGUAAAGGGUACGUAGGCGGUUUAAUAAGUCCUAAUUAAAAGGCUAUGGCUCAACCAUAGUAUGGUUAGGAAACUGUUGAACUUGAGUAGAUGAGGGGAAAGUGGAAUUCCAUGUGUAGCGGUGAAAUGCGUAGAUAUAUGGAGGAACACCAAUGGCGAAGGCAACUUUCUGGAAUCAAACUGACGCUGAGGUACGAAGGCGUGGGGAGCAAACAGG
Molecule: ribosomal RNA, 403 nt
Filed under: Fusobacteriota bacterium
Lineage: Bacteria; Fusobacteriati; Fusobacteriota
Description: Fusobacteria bacterium partial 16S ribosomal RNA
Rfam family: Bacterial small subunit ribosomal RNA
Source: RNAcentral